Molecule: long non-coding RNA, 3066 nt
Organism: Gavialis gangeticus (Gharial)
Lineage: Eukaryota; Metazoa; Chordata; Crocodylia; Gavialidae
Exons: 2
Source: RefSeq, a predicted model, not a curated record
CAGUGCCCUGUGUGCCCCCAGUUAGAUACAUAUUUUAAAUGAAAAAAAGCUAUGGAGAAGUCUUUACUCUCCCAGACAUCGUGCUAGCAAAAUGAAGUAUUUGCACCAAAUAUUUGCUCCUAUAAUCUACUGAUUUGUACCUGCCAUUUAAUAGUGGCUUCAAACACGGUGGGCAUAUAUUAUCCAGGUAAAAAAGCCUGGGCUCUUUUUUGUUAAUUUGAUUCAUUGAAUAGUAGACAUUUUGGAAGACGCUGUGCAAUAAAGUCAGGUUCUUCUACAGAUUUUGUUGAGAGCUGAAGAAAUACUAUGGUAUAUGGCUUUUGAAGAACAACUUUAUGGUCUGCCAUGGGUCAGAUCCCCCCUACUUUUUCCUUCUGUGUCUGUGUAUAGGGGAGGGGGGGAGAAAGAGGGCCGUGGUAAGAUCAUAUCGUGCAUACUGAAUAUUAGUUACAGACCAGAUUUGUUCCCGCUCUGGGGCUUCAGGGUAGAAAAGAUUUCUCAUUUCUUGCAUUCAUUAUUUUGGCCAGCACCCAUCCCAAGUAGUUGUUUAGAAAACAUAUAAAAUACAGUUAUUAAAUGACAGGAUUUUCUCCAGAACUAUUAUUUCAUGUCUCAAAUAAGUUCCCAUGUGCCUGUGCAUCAAAACCAUGUGCUGUACCAAGCACAUAAAAUAGUUUAAGUCUAAAACACAAAACCACAAACAAGCAACACUAACCAAAACUACAAAGCAAGCCCAGUAUGCAAUAGUUCACAAAUCUUUUUCAUGUAAAAUAUACCAAGUUAUUCAAAAAAGCUAUAGAAGAAAAUGCUAAGAAACUAAAUUAAAAACUCAUAAUUUCCCAGAAUCUGGAGAACCUCCAGAUCUACAAGUCAGUAGAUUGGAGCAGCAAAGAGAGCUUUAAACUGUAUCCUGAUUUCAGCCAUGUGAAGAUGAUGACAAGGGAAACAUUUAAUCUCCCAAAGCCAUUUGAAAGGAAUUAAAAAUAAAUAAAUCUAAAUAGCCUCCCCUGUUUCCAUGAAAAAGGAAAGAUUUUUAUGCAAACCUGUACUUUAUAAUAGAGACAACUGAUAAUGAAGCUUAAAGGCUAAAUUCUGUGGUAGAAAUUUGAGCCAAUCUCUUGAUGUAGCAAUUUACACUAACAGUGUUACACCAAGAGGAUAUGCUCCAAAGCUUUAAAAAAGCCUGAAGUGGGGAGGCCAAUUUUUUGUUCUCAAAUUAGCACCUGCAAAUAAUUACAGGCCCAAUUUUGCAUGUGCAGUCAGGGGGAGAGCUGAAUGCAAUCAUUUUUGGCCACAAUUAUUUUCACCUGCAAAGAUGCAAGUGAGAAGUUGGAGUGCAGAUUUGUAAGUGCAGACUACAGAAUAAAGUUGAGACACACACACACACACGCACACACACGCACGCACACACACACGCAUCUGCUUUUCUUCCUGCACCAAAUAUUUCCUAUUCUCUGCACAAGCUUUCCACAGCUUGACAUCCAGGAAAAUGAAUGGCAAUAAACAGCACAUAAAAUAGUGCUGCAAGGCUUCUUGGAAGAUCCUGAAACUUGUAACCAACCAAAACAUUUUUAUCGGCUCCAUAAGAAUACACAGGCCAAUAAUAAAGCCAUGAUUCACCAGCCAAUCAAAAUCUAAAUGACACCAGCCUUAAAAACAAAUAGCCCAAUCAAAGUAAUAUUGAUGUUGUUUUAAAACAAUAAAUAUUAGCUGUGUCACUGCUUAACAGCUUCGAAGUGCAAUGCACCGUCUGGCUGUCACUUUGGAAAAUCUCUGAAGGAGACUAAAUCAAACAUAUUCUUUCAAUGCUAUUGUAACUUCCAAUCAGUUUUCCUUUGAAAAUGUGUCACGAUUGUAUCUCUAGCACAUUAAAGUUGGUUUGUGUUUUUUAAUUAAAUUUAAUCUUUUGCUUACCCACAAACAUAAAGAUAGCUGUUAUGUCAAUUACUAUGAAUCAUGGAGAAAAAAAAAUAAGAGAAGGGCAUGUAAAGAAGGAGGAAAACUAUGAGUAAAGGUUUAUCCUUUCUUCUGUGCUGCUGCAGCAAUGCCAUGGUUUGCUAGGCUGUAUACUUGGUUCAUUUUUCUUUAGUUCUACACCUGUAGAUAAGAAGAAAUAACCUCUAGGUGGGGAACUAUCUUUGAACACUUCACGGUGUUUCUAGGUCUGGACCCUUCUCACUCUGGGAAUACAGUAAUGUUUGGGACAAAGACAAACAUCUCAGUUUAUAAGGUUACUCAUUGAUUGAGAAGGGUUAAGACAUACAGCUUGCGUCUCUCAAGGUGCUGAAAAACAGGCUCAGUCCAUUGCAAUAUAGUUGUCACAACUAUUUGGCACACCUCAUAUUCCUCAUAAGUGGACCUGACCCUUAGACCACCAGCCUAGUUUCCUGAAUUUUUAUGCGAGUGGAACCACAAGGCCCAGCCAGUGGACAACGUGUCUUCUGGGCUACAGCAUUUGAGCAGUGCAGGGCCGACUUGAUUUGGCGCCUGUGAGAGUUUCCUGUGGGAGGCUUUAACUGAAUUCAUUUGCAAGCAUCUUCAAAAGGAAGUAGUUAUUCAUUGCUUAAAAAGCAACUAGAGUAGAAGAUAAGCCUUUGUCAAGAAUACAUGAUUUGAUGUGUGCAACUGUAGCCAAACAUGGUAAAUCUUCCCCUUCAUCUUCAUGAAGGAGUCAUCCAGCAAGCUUUCUCUAAGGAGGGAUUCCACUUGCACCAAACUGCGAACUACAGAAGACAUCUAAAGACAGCGGCACAUUAUGAUCCCGAAGAUACUUUGGGGCUCUUACAUUGAAUGUCAAUGAGCAGAGACAGUUAACACCUGCUAAAUCAGCCUUUUUCUAUGAAGACCAGCAAUAAAGGAUUCUGGCAGCCUCUCUGCUGUCGAACAGUUUAUGUGAUCUCUAAUCGUUAUUUUGGGAGUGCAGACCUGCAGCUCGAGUGAGACUUGUUGGAAGGGUACAUGGGGAAGUCUGGGUUGCACACCUUGUCUACUACUUUCUACUUUCUGGCAAUGCUGAACGCGCGUCAUAGCUGUUCAUGAAGAGCAAAUAGAAUUUCUUCCAGCAGU